Non-coding RNA from Paramisgurnus dabryanus, 630 nucleotides. Lineage: Eukaryota; Metazoa; Chordata; Actinopteri; Cypriniformes; Cobitidae. The record is from RefSeq and is a predicted model, not a curated record.
GCUUUUUCCUUCUAGUUAUUAUGCAAGUCAAAAGAAGACACUGGAAGUCAACCCUAAACAUCCUCUCAUUAAAGAAUGUUAAAGAGAGUCAAUGCUGAUGCUGAGGACCAGACAGCUGCAGAUUUGGCCGUGGUGCUCUUUGAGACCGCCACGUUGCGUUCCGGUUACCAGCUUGCAGAUACCAAGCCUACGGAGACAGGAUAGAGCGCAUGCUCCGGCUUAGCAUGAACGUAGACCUCGAUGAACGGGUAGAGGAAGAACCAGAGGAGGAACUUGAAGAACCAGCAGAGGAUGCAGAGGUUGAGGAUGAAGAGGAGGUCCAGGCAGAUGAUGCAGAGGAAGAGUCUGAAUCCACAAGCAAAGAUGAGUUGUAAAGCUGUGUGAGAGGGGGCGGGGCUUUGGACUGUGAUGCAGAGUGAAGAUGACAACAUGACUGGUUCUUCUCUCUAUAUGGGUGGGUUGGGGGAAUAGGGACUGGGUUUUUUAAGGCACUGCUUUUGUGUUGUUGUUGUUGUUGUUGUUUUCUUUUUUUACAUUCCUCCAUGAUUGUAAAUUUGUUAAUAUUUAACUGACCCAGUUAUGGAGUGCUGACUCCUGUCCAUUGAACCAUUAAAUGUUUCCGGAAAGGGA